UACGGACUGUGCAAACGUUAUUCGGAAUCACUGGGCUUAAAGAGUCCGUAGGCGGCAUGUUAGGUGAGGUGUGAAAUCCCCCGGCUCAACCGAGGAAUUGCGCUUCAAACCGGCGUGCUCGAGGAAGAUAGAGGUGGGCGGAACUGAUGGUGGAGCGGUGAAAUGCGUUGAUAUCAUCAGGAACACCGGAGGCGAAGGCGGCCCACUGGGUCUUUUCUGACGCUGAGGGACGAAAGCUAGGGGAGCGAACGGG
This 253-nucleotide ribosomal RNA is filed under the name uncultured bacterium. Its description in RNAcentral is "partial 16S ribosomal RNA". It matches the Rfam family "Bacterial small subunit ribosomal RNA", at positions 524 to 776 of the family's 1533-position model. The record is from RNAcentral.